UAUGAGUUAGUACUGCCUGAGACUGCGGUUAAAAUUUUGCCGAUUUUUUCUUCUU
This 55-nucleotide transfer RNA is filed under the name Rhinebothrium scobinae. RNAcentral describes it as "tRNA-Tyr". The record is from RNAcentral. Lineage: Eukaryota; Metazoa; Platyhelminthes; Cestoda; Rhinebothriidea; Rhinebothriidae.